GACAGAGGGGGCAAGCGUUGCUCGGAAUUACUGGGCGUAAAGGGCGCGUAGGCGGAUAGUUUAGUCAGAGGUGAAAGCCCAGGGCUCAACCUUGGAAUUGCCUUUGAUACUGGCUAUCUUGAGUUCGGGAGAGGUGAGUGGAAUGCCGAGUGUAGAGGUGAAAUUCGUAGAUAUUCGGCGGAACACCAGUGGCGAAGGCGACUCACUGGCCCGAUACUGACGCUGAGGCGCGAAAGCGUGGGGAGCAAACAGG
This 253-nucleotide ribosomal RNA is filed under the name uncultured bacterium. RNAcentral's name for it is "partial 16S ribosomal RNA". It matches the Rfam family "Bacterial small subunit ribosomal RNA", at positions 524 to 776 of the family's 1533-position model. The record is from RNAcentral.